UUAAGCGACUAAGCGUACACGGUGGAUGCCCUGGCAGUCAGAGGCGAUGAAGGACGUGCUAAUCUGCGAAAAGCGUCGGUAAGGUGAUAUGAACCGUUACAGCCGGCGAUGUCCGAAUGGGGAAACCCAGUGUGAUUCGUCACACUAUCGUUAACUGAAUACAUAGGUUAACGAGGCGAACCGGGGGAACUGAAACAUCUAAGUACCCCGAGGAAAAGAAAUCAACCGAGAUUCCCCCAGUAGCGGCGAGCGAACGGGGAGCAGCCCAGAGUCUGAAUCAGCUUGUGUGUUAGUGGAACGGUCUGGAAAGUCCGACGGUACAGGGUGAUAGUCCCGUACACCAAAAUGCACAGGCUGUGAACUCAAAGAGUAGGGCGGGACACGUGGUAUCCUGUCUGAAUAUGGGGGGACCAUCCUCCAAGGCUAAAUACUCCUGACUGACCGAUAGUGAACCAGUACCGUGAGGGAAAGGCGAAAAGAACCCCGGCGAGGGGAGUGAAAAAGAACCUGAAACCGUGUACGUACAAGCAGUGGGAGCACCUUCGGGUGUGACUGCGUACCUUUUGUAUAAUGGGUCAGCGACUUAUAUUCUGUAGCAAGGUUAACCGUAUAGGGGAGCCGCAGGGAAACCGAGUCUUAACUGGGCGUUAAGUUGCAGGGUAUAGACCCGAAACCCGGUGAUCUAGCCAUGGGCAGGUUGAAGGUUGGGUAACACUAACUGGAGGACCGAACCGACUAAUGUUGAAAAAUUAGCGGAUGACUUGUGGCUGGGGGUGAAAGGCCAAUCAAACCGGGAGAUAGCUGGUUCUCCCCGAAAGCUAUUUAGGUAGCGCCUCGUGAAUUCAUCUUCGGGGGUAGAGCACUGUUUCGGCUAGGGGGUCAUCCCGACUUACCAACCCGAUGCAAACUACGAAUACCGAAGAAUGUUAUCACGGGAGACACACGGCGGGUGCUAACGUCCGUCGUGAAGAGGGAAACAACCCAGACCGCCAGCUAAGGUCCCAAAGUCACAGUUAAGUGGGAAACGAUGUGGGAAGGCACAGACAGCCAGGAUGUUGGCUUAGAAGCAGCCAUCAUUUAAAGAAAGCGUAAUAGCUCACUGGUCGAGUCGGCCUGCGCGGAAGAUGUAACGGGGCUAAACUGUGCACCGAAGCUGCGGCAGCGACACUAUGUGUUGUUGGGUAGGGGAGCGUUCUGUAAGCCUGCGAAGGUGGCCUGUGAGGGUUGCUGGAGGUAUCAGAAGUGCGAAUGCUGACAUAAGUAACGAUAAUGCGGGUGAAAAGCCCGCACGCCGGAAGACCAAGGGUUCCUGUCCAACGUUAAUCGGGGCAGGGUGAGUCGACCCCUAAGGCGAGGCCGAAAGGCGUAGUCGAUGGGAAACAGGUUAAUAUUCCUGUACUUGGUGUUACUGCGAAGGGGGGACGGAGAAGGCUAUGUUAGCCGGGCGACGGUUGUCCCGGUUUAAGCAUGUAGGCGGAGGUUCCAGGUAAAUCCGGUACCUUUUUAACGCUGAGGUGUGAUGACGAGGCACUACGGUGCUGAAGUAACAAAUGCCCUGCUUCCAGGAAAAGCCUCUAAGCAUCAGGUAACAUUAAAUCGUACCCCAAACCGACACAGGUGGUCAGGUAGAGAAUACCAAGGCGCUUGAGAGAACUCGGGUGAAGGAACUAGGCAAAAUGGUGCCGUAACUUCGGGAGAAGGCACGCUGAUAUGUAGGUGAAGCCCCUGCGGGUGGAGCUGAAAUCAGUCGAAGAUACCAGCUGGCUGCAACUGUUUAUUAAAAACACAGCACUGUGCAAACACGAAAGUGGACGUAUACGGUGUGACGCCUGCCCGGUGCCGGAAGGUUAAUUGAUGGGGUUAUCCGUAAGGAGAAGCUCUUGAUCGAAGCCCCGGUAAACGGCGGCCGUAACUAUAACGGUCCUAAGGUAGCGAAAUUCCUUGUCGGGUAAGUUCCGACCUGCACGAAUGGCGUAAUGAUGGCCAGGCUGUCUCCACCCGAGACUCAGUGAAAUUGAACUCGCUGUGAAGAUGCAGUGUACCCGCGGCAAGACGGAAAGACCCCGUGAACCUUUACUAUAGCUUGACACUGAACAUUGAGCCUUGAUGUGUAGGAUAGGUGGGAGGCUUUGAAGCGUGGACGCCAGUCUGCGUGGAGCCAACCUUGAAAUACCACCCUUUAAUGUUUGAUGUUCUAACGUUGGCCCCUGACCGGGGUUGCGGACAGUGUCUGGUGGGUAGUUUGACUGGGGCGGUCUCCUCCCAAAGAGUAACGGAGGAGCACGAAGGUUAGCUAAUCCUGGUCGGACAUCAGGAGGUUAGUGCAAUGGCAUAAGCUAGCUUGACUGCGAGCGUGACGGCGCGAGCAGGUGCGAAAGCAGGUCAUAGUGAUCCGGUGGUUCUGAAUGGAAGGGCCAUCGCUCAACGGAUAAAAGGUACUCCGGGGAUAACAGGCUGAUACCGCCCAAGAGUUCAUAUCGACGGCGGUGUUUGGCACCUCGAUGUCGGCUCAUCACAUCCUGGGGCUGAAGUAGGUCCCAAGGGUAUGGCUGUUCGCCAUUUAAAGUGGUACGCGAGCUGGGUUUAGAACGUCGUGAGACAGUUCGGUCCCUAUCUGCCGUGGGCGCUGGAGAAUUGAGGGGGGCUGCUCCUAGUACGAGAGGACCGGAGUGGACGCAUCACUGGUGUUCGGGUUGUCAUGCCAAUGGCAUUGCCCGGUAGCUAAAUGCGGAAGAUAUAAGUGCUGAAAGCAUCUAAGCACGAAACUUGCCCCGAGAUGAGUUCUCCCUGACUCCUUGAGAGUCCUGAAGGAACGUUAAAGACGAUGACGUUGAUAGGUCGGGUGUGUAAGCGUAGCGAUACGUUGAGCUAACCGAUACUAAUGAACCGUGAGGCUUAACCUU
Molecule: ribosomal RNA, 2903 nt
Filed under: Klebsiella aerogenes
Lineage: Bacteria; Pseudomonadati; Pseudomonadota; Gammaproteobacteria; Enterobacterales; Enterobacteriaceae
Description: bacterial LSU rRNA
Rfam family: Bacterial large subunit ribosomal RNA
Source: RNAcentral